CAGUAGCCACGGGAAUACAGAGGGUGCAAGCGUUAAUCGGAAUUACUGGGCGUAAAGCGCGCGUAGGUGGUUUGUUAAGUUGGAUGUGAAAGCCCCGGGCUCAACCUGGGAACUGCAUCCAAAACUGGCAAGCUAGAGUACGGUAGAGGGUGGUGGAAUUUCCUGUGUAGCGGUGAAAUGCGUAGAUAUAGGAAGGAACACCAGUGGCGAAGGCGACCACCUGGACUGAUACUGACACUGAGGUGCGAAAGCGUGGGGAGCAAACAGGAUUAGAGACCCGUGUAGUCCCUGUCUCUUAUAC
RNAcentral lists this ribosomal RNA (301 nucleotides) under uncultured bacterium. RNAcentral's name for it is "partial 16S ribosomal RNA". It matches the Rfam family "Bacterial small subunit ribosomal RNA", at positions 509 to 807 of the family's 1533-position model. The record is from RNAcentral.